UUGGCAAUAGGAGAACAGGCCCAGAGGCAGACAUGGGCCUGAAGCCUCAUCCCUGGGCACUGCUGGGAGCACUUCCCGUGCCAGCACAUCCUGCUUUCAUCCCCACCAGCCCCAAGAAAGGGCUGCUCUGGUGGCCCUGGUCACAGCCACACCUCACCUUGGGUGGGAUGCAGCCCUGCCAGCCAGGCCCAGCCUAUGGCAGCCACCCCAGGCACAUCUGAAGCUGCUGUAACAGUAGGACCUAUAGCUGCUGCCAAAGCCCCUCCAUCCCCCAAGGACAGGAGCCCUCAGCUCCCCUCCUACCCAGCAGUACCCACAGAGACAGGAUACCUACAACAUAAAGAGUGCUCUACACCAGAAAACAGGUGCUGCAUCAUGGCUGAGCUAUGGGCUUUAAUUGCCCUGAGCAGCCUUACCUGGGACCCCCAGCUCUAUACAAGAUCUAGCUCUUCCUUUCUUCCCUUUUCAAUCUGAGUUGAUUCCUGUGAGCUGGUCAGUAGGGUCUAAGCUGCCCUGCAGGGUGUUCCCACCAAUGUUGCCCCGUCCUGGGCACUACACCAUAGUGCUGAGCUCUGUAACAGUGCUGACAGCCCCUGGCAUCAUAAUAGCGUCAGGGCCUGCUGACAGCAUGCAGAGGAAGGAGCAGGAGAUAAGGCCUCCUGCUGUGCCUGGGCAGCAAUUUGUGAACAAGGAGAGCAGAAAGCAGCACUGCGGGCAGGUACAGUUGCCAGCAGCAGUGCCAGCUCUUCCCCCAUGAAUACCAAUGCAUCAGCCCAGCACGGGGCGUUUCAGCUCAGCAGCGCUGUGUGUGUCCCCAGGCGGUGGCAGCUGGUACCAAAGGUGGUGGCCCCAGGCUGGCAGCGGGAAAAGCCUAUUCUAACUUUGGAAGCAAAGACUGGUGCCUGUAUCUCAAACGCUUCAGCAGACGUUAACCCAGCUCUCCCAGUGUGGAGCAGGAAGCGGGGAGCCUGCGUUCUCAGCCAGAGCGGGCUCAGGUUUGGGCAGCCUGGGCAGCGAGGCCUGACCACCAUGGAAAAACAUUGGGCUUCUAAACACACAGAGUCUGGGCAAUGUUAUUUGUUUGAAAAGAGAAUAAAUAAAAAAAAAUAAUUCCAUCCAUUCCUCUGGCAAAGACAGCUGGGCAUUUGGAGUGGCGGUGUUUGAAAUGCAAAAUGUACCUCAUUGGAGAGUUGUUUCAUGCCAUUCAUCUUCAGAGCGCGCUCUCGCUGCUUGUUUGCGGUGUGCGGCUAUAAACCAUGCUUUGUGCAAGCGCUCCGGCUGGCUCGGAGGUAAGGAAGAGCAAAGGAUGCUAAUAUCAGACGUUUCAAUCCCCACUGCAACCUACAUUGCUCAAAGCAAGAUGACUUGCAAACAUCUAACACAAAUGAGGAAGAUGAAUCGUAUUCAAGGUCAGGCUCUAUGCCAGGAAACCGAUAGAGGCAAAAGCGGUUAAUUGCUUUAGAUUCCAACAGCCCCCAAACGUGCCCUGCGUACAGACAUCCCUGCCUUGCGCUGCCGUGGACCUCGCCACCCAAACCGGCAAAUAAAAUAGGAAAUGGAGGUGCUCGUCGUGAGUUU
RNAcentral lists this long non-coding RNA (1578 nucleotides) under Numida meleagris (helmeted guineafowl). Its description in RNAcentral is "lncRNA (ENSNMEG00000013819.1)". The record is from RNAcentral. Lineage: Eukaryota; Metazoa; Chordata; Aves; Galliformes; Numididae.